This is a long non-coding RNA of Coregonus clupeaformis (lake whitefish), 862 nucleotides long. RefSeq lists it as uncharacterized. The record is from RefSeq and is a predicted model, not a curated record. The transcript is spliced from 4 exons. NCBI's taxonomy places the organism in Eukaryota, Metazoa, Chordata, Actinopteri, Salmoniformes, Salmonidae.
CAAAGAGACCUUGAUUGAAACAACUCCUCACUGCAAUCUAACCCCGAACAAAACAUACAUCCUCUCCACAAAUAUUACACAUGGAUAUAGGAUCAACCCAACAGUAAUAUCUAUAAGCCAUAAAGAGAUUACAACUUUAGAUAUUUAUUUAGCUUUGACCUCAGCAUAUUCACAUUACAUGUAAGAUCGUAGAUACUGACUCUUGCUUUUUGUGUUCCAGACAGCAGAAUUUGUGGUUUUCCAGUCCGAUGAAAACUACUUCCCCACAUUUCAGUUGUUCUUAGAAACUGUUGUUAAAGAGUUUGAACUUCUUCUGAAAGAAAAGGGCAGUACUGAAAAUGUAUGGAACGGACUUGUCUGGUUGCCAGCCUCACCAACAGAUGUCACCUCUACAGCCACGCCACCAAGGGAUGACUCAGCAGUGACAACGAGGACUACUGUUCAAGAUCGGAUUCUAGAGACACUGGAGGGACUGGACAAAAAAGAGCUGAAGAAAUUUCAGUGGCACCUGACCCAUUUAAAGAGUGUGAACGGCAUCACUCACAUCCAGAAGAGCGAACUGGAGAAGGCUGAAAGGCACGACAUAGUGGAUAAGAUGGUGCAGCGCUACGGCCCUGAGGAAACUCUGAAGAUCUCAGGGAACAUCCUGACAAAGAUUCACCGCAACAAUCUCUCUGAGAUGUUACAGAAUAAUCACUGAGGAGUUUAAAGAUGACCAGCAGCAGCCAUACCACCCUGCAGCCAAUCACUGCUUUGCUUAAGGGAAACCUGCACUAACUGAAAGUCUUUAUUAGUUUUAAAGUUCUUUAGCAGCAGCAGAGGUCUCAUUAAACGUGAGGUCAUCUACCAGACAACCUACAGU